RNAcentral lists this ribosomal RNA (495 nucleotides) under uncultured bacterium. Its description in RNAcentral is "partial 16S ribosomal RNA". It matches the Rfam family "Bacterial small subunit ribosomal RNA", at positions 28 to 507 of the family's 1533-position model. The record is from RNAcentral.
GACGAACGCUGGCGGCGUGCCUAAUACAUGCAAGUAGAACGCUGAAGGAGGAGCUUGCUUCUCUGGAUGAGUUGCGAACGGGUGAGUAACGCGUAGGUAACCUGCCUGGUUGCGGGGGAUAACUAUUGGAAACGAUAGCUAAUACCGCAUAAUAGCAGUUAUUGCAUGAUAACUGUUUGAAAGGUGCAAUUGCACCACUACCAGAUGGACCUGCGUUGUAUUAGCUAGUUGGUGGGGUAACGGCUCACCAAGGCGACGAUACAUAGCCGGCCUGAGAGGGUGAUCGGCCAAACUGGGACUGAGACACGGCCCAGACUCCUACGGGAGGCAGCAGUAGGGGAACAUCGGCAAUUGACGGAAGUCCGACCGAGCAAAGCCGGGUGAGGGAAGGAAGUUCUCGGAUUGGAAAAGUCUGUUGUUAGGGAAGGACGAGUGUGAGAGUGGAAAGUUCACGCUGUGACGGUAUCUUACCAGAAAGCGACGGCUAACUACGUG